RNAcentral lists this ribosomal RNA (420 nucleotides) under uncultured bacterium. RNAcentral's name for it is "bacterial SSU rRNA". It matches the Rfam family "Bacterial small subunit ribosomal RNA", at positions 107 to 518 of the family's 1533-position model. The record is from RNAcentral.
UGAGUAACACGUAUGCAACCUAACCUUUAACAGGGGAAUAAACCCGUUGAAAAACGGACUAAUGCCCCCAUGACACAGGGGUCCCGCAUGGGAAUAUUUGUUAAAGAUUAAUCGGUUGAAGAUGGGCAUGCGUUCCAUUAGCUUGUUGGUGAGGUAACGGCCCACCAAGGCAACGAUGGAUAGGGGAACUGAGAGGUUUAUCCCCCCACACUGGAACUGAGACACGGUCCAGACUCCUACGGGAGGCAGCAGUGAGGAAUAUUGGUCAAGUGGAGGCAACUCUGAACCAGCCAAGUCCGCGUGAAGGAUGAAGGUCUUAUGGAUUGUAAACUUCUUUUUCAAGGGAAUAAAGUGGGGGACGUGUCCUCCUUUGCAUGUACCUUGCGAAUAAGGAUCGGCUAACUCCGUGCCAGCCGCUGC